RNAcentral lists this long non-coding RNA (2493 nucleotides) under Equus caballus (horse). Its description in RNAcentral is "lncRNA (ENSECAG00000043969.1)". Lineage: Eukaryota; Metazoa; Chordata; Mammalia; Perissodactyla; Equidae. The record is from RNAcentral.
UGGGGAUGGGAAAAUACAAACAAGAAGGUGAAGCCGAGAAGAGAGGCUGAAUCCACGACCAAGGUUCAAAACACAGGUGUGCGUAUCUGCAAUCACUGAUUAAAGCCAGCCAGUGCUUCGUGUCUUCUGGAAAGGCUUCACGGAAAAGCUUAUGCAUCAGGACAAUCAAGUUCUGAGGCACGCCCAUUUCUUUGAGAGCAGCCCAGAGCUUUUCAUGAUCCACGUGUGAAAUCCACGAUGGAGAGACUGAAUUCUGUCUGCCAAAACAGUAGCAGGAGCAGACUGUGCUCCUGACCAUGAACUGUUCAUAUCAAAUAUCAGAGAGAGCUGAAGAAGAGCACUGAAAGAGUCACAGUGCCAAAAUAUGACAAAUACAACAUUGCCGUGAAUUCAAAGUCCACAUAAAAAACUUAUUUGCAUUGUUAAAUUUAAUUGACUGAGAACCAGUAAAACUAUGGACUGAAAUCAGAAAUAUUAUUAAGGAAGAAUGCCAAAAGAUAAUGCCUGAAGUAAAAAGAAAAGAAAAAUCAAGGAUGACAGCAGAGACACACAGAAUUGUUAAGGACAGGCAAGAAGCAACAGUAAAAGGUGAUGAAAGUAGGGUUAGAAUCCUGAGCGCAGUCUCCCAGUGAUGUCAUACAGAGAUAAAGAGAACUACUAUAAUGGCCAAUGCAAAGAGAUGGAAGAGAACAAAGAAAAAGGAAGAACAAGAGGUCUCUUCCUGAAGAUUCGAGAAAUCGAAGGGAAAUUUAGACCUAGAUUAGGAAUGCUGAAGGACCAACAGGGAAGCACACUCUCUGAUCAGGAGAAGACAAAGGGAAGGUAGAAACAGUGCACUGAAGAUCUACACAGAAGAGACAAAAGGAUGAUGGAUGCCUUUGUAGACGAUUCCUAUGAGGAAGAACCUGUAAUUUUAGAUCGUGAAGUGGAAGCUGCCCUGAAAGUACUGGGAAGAAAAAAGUCACCAGUGUUAGGUUAGAUAUUGAUAGAAUUAUUUCAAGACACAGAGACUGAAUUUGUCAAAAUCCUAACAAGAACAUGCCAACAAACAUGGAAAACAAAAAAAAAUGACCAAUAGACUGGAAACGUGCAACAUAUAUCCCAAUCCCCAAAAAAGGAGACGCCAAAGAGCGCAGUGACCAUAGGACCUUUGCUCUAAUGUCCCAUGCAAAUGCUCAAGGUGCUACAGUAAAGGCUUUUACCUUAUGGGGAGCGAGAAUGCCUGAUAGCCAAGCUGGAUUUUGAAAGAAGAGGCACACAAGAUCUCCUUGGGGUUGUUCGUUGGCUACUGGAGUGCUCCAAAGAAUUUCAGAAGAAGCUAGUCUAUGUUUUACAGACUAUAGUAAAGCCUUUGACUGUGUAGAUUGUGUGUGUAUACUAACCUGUAUAUAUACAUAUAUCUGUAACUCCACCCAUAUGUAUAUGUAACCAUCUGUAUCUAUAUUAAGCUAAACAUGAAUUCAUCCUGAUGUCUUCAACUUUAAUCAAUUGCCACAUGGAUCAUUCUAGCCUUCCCCCCUUGCUUAUCUGUAAACUCCCAUUACAACAGUGAGAAACCUGGCUCCCACCAGCUGCCACCCAUUUACUUAAUCAUUCAGUUCAACACAUUUAAUUAAUUUUUAAUCUAGCAUGUCUCCAAGUUGCUCUCUGCAGUUCUAUUUUCAGGAAUCUGUGAGUUCUUCCUUUAACAAAAACAAAAAAAAGCUUUUUAGAUCUUCCCUGCCCUCCAGCUGUCUUGCUCUGAUUGUCUUGUGCCUGUAGAAGAAUAAGACCCAAUACGCAGGGCACUCAGCAGAAUUCCUGGGUCUGUGGAACAUCGUGAUGUGCUGGGCUUGAAGGAGGUUGUUGAACAAUGCAGAGACCCAACACUCAAAGCAAAGGAGAGAAGAGUGCGUUGCACAUGGAUGACGACAAUGGGAGCUGCUCAUCUGUGAACACUUGCCAUGUCCUGGGCACUCUGCUAUCUACCUUACAAGCUUCGGCACCCUAUUUUAUAAGUGGAAUAUAUUUUUUGGGGUGGCUAUAGAAAAGCAAAAAGGGGACAAUAUAAAUCAAUGUAACUCCAUCGCAUAGAUUUAACCACCUCUACUAGUCCGAUGGAACUUGAUAACAGCAGUCUCCCAUAAGGAGGAUCAGCCCAAAUUAAGUGCCUAGAGAAGGCAGACAUCCAGACUCCGUAUCAUAGUAUGUUGCACUCUGGGAACAAGAUGGAACAGAUUCUCCUUUAUGGCAGAGGCAGAACAGAAGCUGUGACUUUGUAUAGAUGUCUUGAGUGAGGGGCCUGGGGAAGGGGAGUUCUCAUCUCUGGAAUGCAAGGGCUUUAUAUCUCUCUAGACAAAUCACAUAAAAGAACAAAGUAUCAGAUUGGAGACCUUGAAGGAAAAGAAAAAAAAUGACUGCUUAAAGUGUUCUUUCUUGCACAGAACCCUAAGCUGAAAUGUCCAGUGUACUCAAACACUGUUGAAUUAAACGGAAUGAGUUAAAAAAAAAAAA